AUUGAACGCUGGCGGCAGGCCUAACACAUGCAAGUCGAGCGGAUGAAGGGAGCUUGCUCCUGGAUUCAGCGGCGGACGGGUGAGUAAUGCCUAGGAAUCUGCCUGGUAGUGGGGGAUAACGUCCGGAAACGGGCGCUAAUACCGCAUACGUCCUGAGGGAGAAAGUGGGGGAUCUUCGGACCUCACGCUAUCAGAUGAGCCUAGGUCGGAUUAGCUAGUUGGUGGGGUAAAGGCCUACCAAGGCGACGAUCCGUAACUGGUCUGAGAGGAUGAUCAGUCAAACGGAACUGAGACAAGGUCCCGGAUCCUAACGGGGGGCAGAGGGGGGAAUUAUGGAACAAGGGCGAAAGCCUGAUCCAGCCAUGCCGCGUGUGUGAAGAAGGUCUUCGGAUUGUAAAGCACUUUAAGUUGGGAGGAAGGGCAGUAAGUUAAUACCUUGCUGUUUUGACGUUACCAACAGAAUAAGCACCGGCUAACUUCGUG
This 483-nucleotide ribosomal RNA is filed under the name uncultured bacterium. RNAcentral describes it as "partial 16S ribosomal RNA". It matches the Rfam family "Bacterial small subunit ribosomal RNA", at positions 30 to 507 of the family's 1533-position model. The record is from RNAcentral.